GCAAGUCGAACGGUAAGGUCUUUUCGGAGAUACACGAGUGGCGCACGGGUGAGUAACGCGUAUGCAAUCUGCCUCUAACUGGAGGAUAGCUCUCGGAAACGGGAAUUAAUACUCCAUAGUAUUUAGUAAAGGCAUCUUUACUAUCUUAAAGCUCCGGCGGUUAGAGAUGAGCAUGCGUGACAUUAGUUUGUUGGUGAGGUAACUGCUCACCAAGACUACGAUGUCUAGGGGGUCUUAAAGGAUGGUC
This 247-nucleotide ribosomal RNA is filed under the name uncultured bacterium. RNAcentral's name for it is "partial 16S ribosomal RNA". It matches the Rfam family "Bacterial small subunit ribosomal RNA", at positions 57 to 305 of the family's 1533-position model. The record is from RNAcentral.